RNAcentral lists this transfer RNA (80 nucleotides) under Fibroporia radiculosa. It matches the Rfam family "tRNA". Rfam says of the family: Transfer RNA (tRNA) molecules are approximately 80 nucleotides in length. Their secondary structure includes four short double-helical elements and three loops (D, anti-codon, and T loops). Lineage: Eukaryota; Fungi; Basidiomycota; Agaricomycetes; Polyporales; Fibroporiaceae. The record is from Rfam by way of RNAcentral.
GGCCCAAUGGUCUAGAGGUAAGAUACUUGCUUUGGGAUCACAACUGCAAGGGAUCCCGGGUUCGAAUCCCGGUUGGGCCC